Molecule: long non-coding RNA, 530 nt
Organism: Bombus pyrosoma
Lineage: Eukaryota; Metazoa; Arthropoda; Insecta; Hymenoptera; Apidae
Exons: 3
Source: RefSeq, a predicted model, not a curated record
AUCAAGAAAUACAAGAGAUUAGAGAAUGGGUUGAUAAAACAAUCGACAAUUUAGGAAACGAUUAUUUUACUAUCUACGUUAAUUUACCAACCAAUACUGAUACACACGUUGCCACAGACUCGCAACUAUAGGCAGAAUUCACUGUAGCGCUACCGACAGAUUUUUGCGAAUAUCUCGGAAACUAAGCGAAACCACCGUAUGAAAAAAUUGUUCAAAAUAUCGAUUUCUACAACAUAUCCAAAAAUCAUCGAAAUCGGAGAUGAGCGUUCCAGAGAGCGAGAAGAACGCAUAUUUAAUCAAACAAUCGAAUGAAAAGAUAGCUUCGAUAUAGAAUUACUGGACAAUAUAUCGAAUUUUAUAUAUAUCGUAUAUGACUGAGAAACUAAAGUACAUGGAAUUAGGAUAUUUACGUUUUGAAUUACCUUGAGUACAUCCAAACCUUGGGAGGGCGUUCGACAUCUGCUGGUCUUGACCGCUCGAGCUUUGUCCGGGCUUCCGGCUCGGCUGAGGGUGCCUUCAGAGGGCACGAU